AAUAUCUGCCACAACACAGGCCACCUUGGUGGCCUGAGGAGUUGCCCUUUGCCUCAGUCAGUGACGGAAAAGGUGAAGGGCGUAAAGCUUUCACUGCUGAAAAGCUGAGGCAGGUGGUACGCUCAUACAAUGCGUAUUACAAUCUCCAGCUGCAGCAGUCUGUUGAGGCACCACCAUCACCCCCAUCACCAGCAACACCAGCAGCAGCAGAAACACCUGCUGCACCUCUCACCCCCCUCACCCCUCC
Long non-coding RNA from Alosa alosa (allis shad), 247 nucleotides. RefSeq lists it as uncharacterized. The record is from RefSeq and is a predicted model, not a curated record. The transcript is spliced from 3 exons. NCBI's taxonomy places the organism in Eukaryota, Metazoa, Chordata, Actinopteri, Clupeiformes, Clupeidae.